GACGAACGCUGGCGGCGUGCUUAACACAUGCAAGUCGAACGGAAAGGCCCUGCUUUUGUGGGGUGCUCGAGUGGCGAACGGGUGAGUAACACGUGAGUAACCUGCCCUUGACUUUGGGAUAACUUCAGGAAACUGGGGCUAAUACCGGAUAGGAGCUCCUGCUGCAUGGUGGGGGUUGGAAAGUUUCGGCGGUUGGGGAGGGACUCGCGGGUGAUCAGCGAGUUGGUGGGGUAGUGGCUUACCAAGGCGUUGACGGGUAGCUGGCCUGAGAGGAUGACCGGCCAGACUGGGACGGAGAGACGGCGCAGACUCCUACGGGAGGCAGCGGUGGGGAAUAUGGGAAAAGGGGCGAAAGCCUGAUACAGCAAGGCCGGGUGAGUGAUGAAGGCCUUAGGGUUGUAAAGCUCUUUUAACCGGGAUGAUAAUGACAGUACCGGGAGAAUAAGCGCCGGCUAACUCCGUG
RNAcentral lists this ribosomal RNA (463 nucleotides) under uncultured bacterium. RNAcentral describes it as "partial 16S ribosomal RNA". It matches the Rfam family "Bacterial small subunit ribosomal RNA", at positions 28 to 507 of the family's 1533-position model. The record is from RNAcentral.